Molecule: ribosomal RNA, 616 nt
Filed under: uncultured bacterium
Lineage: Bacteria
Description: bacterial SSU rRNA
Rfam family: Bacterial small subunit ribosomal RNA
Source: RNAcentral
UAAACGAUGAUCACUCGCUGUUGGCGAUACACAGUCAGCGGCUUAGGGAAACCUUUAAGUGAUCCACCUGGGGAGUACGGUCGCAAGAUUGAAACUCAAAGGAAUUGACGGGGGCCGCACAAGCGGAGGAGCAUGUGGUUUAAUUCGAUGAUACGCGAGGAACCUUACCUGGGCUUAAAUGUAAGACGACAGUCCCCGAAAGGGGAUUUUCUUCGGGACGUCCUACAAGGUGCUGCAUGGUUGUCGUCAGCUCGUGCCGUGAGGUGUCGGGUUAAGUCCCAUAACGAGCGCAACCCCUAUCCUUAGUUGCCAUCAGAUAAUGCUGGGGACUCUAAGGAAACUGCCUACGCAAGUAGUGAGGAAGGUGGGGAUGACGUCAAAUCAGCACGGCCCUUAUGUCCAGGGCUACACACGUGCUACAAUGGCCGGUACAGAGGGCAGCUACCUGGUGACAGGAUGCUAAUCUCGAAAACCGGUCUCAGUUCGGAUCGAAGUCUGCAACUCGCUUCGUGAAGUCGGAUUCGCUAGUAAUCGCACAUCAGCCAUGGCGCGGUGAAUACGUUCCCGGGCCUUGUACACACCGCCCGUCAAGCCAUGGAAGCUGGGGGUACCUAAA